UCAAUCCGAAUGUUUUUGGAA
RNAcentral lists this non-coding RNA (21 nucleotides) under Caenorhabditis elegans. Lineage: Eukaryota; Metazoa; Nematoda; Chromadorea; Rhabditida; Rhabditidae. The record is from RNAcentral.